RNAcentral lists this long non-coding RNA (259 nucleotides) under Salvia miltiorrhiza (redroot sage). RNAcentral's name for it is "long non-coding RNA (SMIL_LNC001263)". Lineage: Eukaryota; Viridiplantae; Streptophyta; Magnoliopsida; Lamiales; Lamiaceae. The record is from RNAcentral.
CAAACCUUGAUUGGGGAGCGCCGCUUUGCUAUUUGAAAGAGCGGGAGGCUACUGAAGCCCUAAUAUGAACUGAUUUCAGGGAGAAAAUCGUAAAGUAAAAUUAUUAUCUAAAACACUGUUCCUCAUAUAUUACUGAUAAGGGGGUGAGGGUGAAAUCAGAUUUCUAAGUGUAACAGUAUUUUUUAGCGGGUUUGAGCGUUUUUUGCGGGUUCCAGGUAUUAAUGAUAAUGCCUAUCAAACAAUGAGAAAAUGUGAGAAA